Molecule: long non-coding RNA, 1906 nt
Filed under: Salmo salar (Atlantic salmon)
Lineage: Eukaryota; Metazoa; Chordata; Actinopteri; Salmoniformes; Salmonidae
Description: lncRNA (ENSSSAG00000112095.1)
Source: RNAcentral
AGAGAAUUAAUCUAGUACUGAAAGUAUAAGCUACAACUAGCUAGAACCACAGUGCAUAAAAUGUGGUGAGUAGUUGCCUCAAAGACAGAGAAAGACAAUGGUUUAACAGUUUUGAACAAAUUCAUUCAUUCCAAAAUUAAGGAGAAGCGAGAGAGAGAGAUAUAUAUAUAUAUAUUUUUCCUCUUACUUUCACUUAGCUAGUGAAUGCAGCUAGCUAGUGAAUGCAGCUAGCUAGUUUAGCCUACUCAAACACGUGGCUCAAACAGAGAGGGAUGCCAUGUUAGCUAGCUGGCUAUGGUUAUCCAACACUGGAACUUUUCUAAGUCAAGGUUAAUGACGACAUACAAGUCUCUGAGUCUGAGUGGUGAUGGUGUAUGCCCAGACUGGGGUGCAACAGUACCCUGAGUAGGCACUCUGGCUGGUUCAGACUCAAAAUUCACCAGCUCAGAAGUAUGUGAGAAGUAUGUGGCAUGGACUCCAGACAAUCAUGAAUUAUAAAGGGAAAACCUGCCACGUAGCCAACACCAACAUCUUGCUCCCGGACAAGCUAAACACCUUCUUCACCUACUUCGAUGGGAAAUACAGUGCCGCCGCCGAUAGCCACCACCGCUCCCGUGGACUGUGAACUCUCAUUCUCCAUGGCCGAAGUGAGUAAGACAUUUAAGGGUGGUAACCCUCGCAAGGCUGCCGGCCCAGACGUUAUCCCUAGCCACGUCCUUAGAGCAUGUGCAGACCAGCUGGUUGGAGUGUUUACGGACAUAUUCAGUCUCUCGCUAUCCCAGUCUGUUGUCCCCACUUGCUUCAAGAUGUCCACCAUCAUUCCUGUACAUUUUUUAAAAAAGGGUUCCAAAUGGGUUCUUCGGCUGUCCCCAUAGGAGAACCCUUUUUGGUUCCAGGUAUAACUAUUUUGAGUUCCAUGUAGAACACUUUACACAGAGGGUUUUACAUGGAAACCAAAAUAGGUAUACCUGGAAUCAAAAAGGGUUCUACUCAGAACCGAAAAGGGUUCUCAAAUGGUUCUCAAAUGGGGACAGCCGGAGAACCCUUUUAGGAUCUAGAUAUCACUUAUUUUUCUAAGAGUGUACCCAAUAAAGUGAUGGUAACUGAACUAAAUGACUAUCGCCCCGUAGCACUCACUGUUGUCAUCAUGAAGUGCCUUGAGAGGCUAGUCAAGGAUCAUAUCAUCUCUACCUUACCCGACACCCUAGACGCACUGCAAUUUUCAUACCGCCCCAAUAGAUUCACAGAUGACACAAUCGCCAUUGCACUGCACACUGCCUAUCCCAUCUGAACAAGAUGAAUACCAAUGUAAGAAUGCUGUUCAUUGACUACAGUCUUCAACACCAUAGUACCCUCCAAGCUCAUCAUGAAGCUCAGUAAGAUUGGUCUGAACCCUGCCCUGUGCAACUGAGUCCUGGUCUUCCUGACGGGCCACCCCCAGGUGGUGAAGGUAGGCAACAACACCUCCACUACGCUGAUGCUCAACACAGGGGCCCCACAAGGGUUCGUGCUCAGCCGCCUCCUGUACUCCCUGUUCACCCAUGACUGCGUGGCCACGCACGUCUCCAACUCAAUCAAGUUUGCAAACGACAUAACAGUGGUAGGCCUGCUUACCAACAACGAUGAGACAGCCUACUGGGAGGAGAUGAGGGCCCUGGUGGAGUGGUGCCAGGAAAAUAACCUCUCCCUCAACAUCAUCAAAACGAAGGAGCUGAUCGUGGACCGAGAGACUGAAAAACAGCUUCUAUCUCAAGGCCAUCAGACUAUUAAAUAGUCACCACUAGCCGGCCCCCGCUCAGUACCCUGCCCUGAACUUAGUCACUGUCACUAGCCGGCUACCACCCACUUACUUAACCUGUUGAGGGUAGGGGGCAGUAUUGACACGGCUGGAUAAAAAACGUACCCG